This 502-nucleotide ribosomal RNA is filed under the name uncultured bacterium. Its description in RNAcentral is "partial 16S ribosomal RNA". It matches the Rfam family "Bacterial small subunit ribosomal RNA", at positions 30 to 523 of the family's 1533-position model. The record is from RNAcentral.
AUUGAACGCUGGCGGCAGGCUUAACACAUGCAAGUCGAGCGGGGUGAUGGUGCUUGCACUAUCACUUAGCGGCGGACGGGUGAGUAAUGCUUAGGAAUCUGCCUAUUAGUGGGGACAACAUCUCGAAAGGGAUGCUAAUACCGCAUACGUCCUACGGGAGAAAGCAGGGGAUCACUUGUGACCUUGCGCUAAUAGAUGAGCCUAAGUCGGAUUAGCUAGUUGGUGGGGUAAAGGCCUACCAAGGCGACGAUCUGUAGCGGGUCUGAGAGGAUGAUCCGCCACACUGAGACUGAGACACGGCCCAGACUCCUACGGGAGGCUGCAGUGGGGAAUAUUGGACAAUGGGGGGAACCCUGAUCCAGCCAUGCCGCGUGUGUGAAGAAGGCCUUAUGGUUGUAAAGCACUUUAAGCGAGGAGGAGGCUCUUUUGGUUAAUACCCAAGAUGAGUGGACGUUACUCGCAGAAUAAGCACCGGCUAACUCUGUGCCAGCCGCCGCAGUAA